GUCAGGAUGGCUGAGUGGUCUAAGGUGUUUUACCUUCCAUACUAAUGGGUGUUUUGGUUUCCAAAUGGGGGUGUGGGUUCAAAUCCCACUUCUGACA
Non-coding RNA from Albula goreensis, 97 nucleotides. The record is from the annotation of a GenBank genome assembly. Lineage: Eukaryota; Metazoa; Chordata; Actinopteri; Albuliformes; Albulidae.